CAGCACCUCAAGUGGUCAGGAUGAUUAUUGGGCCUAAAGCAUCCGUAGCCGGCGCUGUAAGUUUUCGGUUAAAUCUGUACGCUCAACGUACAGGCUGCCGGGAAUACUGCAGCGCUAGGGAGUGGGAGAGGUAGACGGUACUCGGUAGGAAGGGGUAAAAUCCUUUGAUCUAUUGAUGACCACCUGUGGCGAAGGCGGUCUACCAGAACACAUCCGACGGUGAGGGAUGAAAGCUGGGGGAGCAAACCGGAUUAGAGACCCGAGUAGUCC
This 270-nucleotide ribosomal RNA is filed under the name uncultured archaeon. RNAcentral describes it as "partial 16S ribosomal RNA". It matches the Rfam family "Archaeal small subunit ribosomal RNA", at positions 477 to 747 of the family's 1478-position model. The record is from RNAcentral.